This 468-nucleotide ribosomal RNA is filed under the name uncultured bacterium. RNAcentral's name for it is "partial 16S ribosomal RNA". It matches the Rfam family "Bacterial small subunit ribosomal RNA", at positions 28 to 507 of the family's 1533-position model. The record is from RNAcentral.
GAUGAACGCUGGCGGCGUGCUUAACACAUGCAAGUCGAACGGAAAGGCCGAAGCUUGCUUCGGUACUCGAGUGGCGAGCGGGUGAGUAACACGUGGGUGAUCUGCCCUGUACUUCGGGAUAAGCUUGGGAAACUGGGUCUAAUACCGGAUAUGACGAUCUCUUGGAUGGGGUUGUGGAAAGCUUUUGCGGUAUGGGAUGAGCUCGCGGCCUAUCAGCUUGUUGGUGGGGUAAUGGCCUACCAAGGCGUCGACGGGUAGCCGGCCUGAGAGGGUGUACGGCCACAUUGGGACUGAGAUACGGCCCAGACUCCUACGGGAGGCAGCAGUGGGGAAUAUUGCACAAUGGGCGCAGGCCUGAUGCAGCGACGCCGCGUGGGGGAUGACGGCCUUCGGGUUGUAAACUCCUUUCGCAAUCGACGAAGCCUUUUGGUGACGGUAGGUUGAGAAGAAGCACCGGCUAACUACGUG